Molecule: ribosomal RNA, 465 nt
Filed under: Vreelandella stevensii
Lineage: Bacteria; Pseudomonadati; Pseudomonadota; Gammaproteobacteria; Oceanospirillales; Halomonadaceae
Description: partial 16S ribosomal RNA
Rfam family: Bacterial small subunit ribosomal RNA
Source: RNAcentral
CCUACGGGGGGCAGCAGUGGGGAAUAUUGGACAAUGGGGGCAACCCUGAUCCAGCCAUGCCGCGUGUGUGAAGAAGGCCCUCGGGUUGUAAAGCACUUUCAGUGAGGAAGAACGCCUGGUGGUUAAUACCCAUCAGGAAAGACAUCACUCACAGAAGAAGCACCGGCUAACUCCGUGCCAGCAGCCGCGGUAAUACGGAGGGUGCGAGCGUUAAUCGGAAUUACUGGGCGUAAAGCGCGCGUAGGUGGCUUGAUAAGCCGGUUGUGAAAGCCCCGGGCUCAACCUGGGAACGGCAUCCGGAACUGUCAAGCUAGAGUGCAGGAGAGGAAGGUAGAAUUCCCGGUGUAGCGGUGAAAUGCGUAGAGAUCGGGAGGAAUACCAGUGGCGAAGGCGGCCUUCUGGACUGACACUGACACUGAGGUGCGAAAGCGUGGGUAGCAAACAGGAUUAGAUACUCCGGAAGUC